UCCAGCCCAAACACGCUUAACUGU
RNAcentral lists this non-coding RNA (24 nucleotides) under Arabidopsis thaliana (thale cress). The record is from RNAcentral. Lineage: Eukaryota; Viridiplantae; Streptophyta; Magnoliopsida; Brassicales; Brassicaceae.